UCGGGAUAGCUCAGCUGGUARAGCAAAGGACUGAAA
RNAcentral lists this transfer RNA (36 nucleotides) under Rabiea albinota. RNAcentral describes it as "partial tRNA-Phe". The record is from RNAcentral. Lineage: Eukaryota; Viridiplantae; Streptophyta; Magnoliopsida; Caryophyllales; Aizoaceae.